RNAcentral lists this ribosomal RNA (232 nucleotides) under uncultured bacterium. RNAcentral describes it as "partial 16S ribosomal RNA". It matches the Rfam family "Bacterial small subunit ribosomal RNA", at positions 524 to 755 of the family's 1533-position model. The record is from RNAcentral.
UACGAGGGGGCGAGCGUUGUUCGGAAUUAUUGGGCGUAAAGGGUGCGUAGGCGGGUCUUUUAAGUCAGAGGUGAAAUCCUGGAGCUCAACUCCAGAACUGCCUUCGAUACUGAGAAGCUCGAGUCCGGGAGAGGUGAGUGGAACUGCGAGUGUAGAGGUGAAAUUCGUAGAUAUUCGCAAGAACACCAGUGGCGAAGGCGGCUCACUGGCCCGGUACUGACGCUGAGGUGCG